AAGCUCCAUGGCCUGGGUGGGGCCUGUCCAAAAGGCUGGUGCCGGCGGGCGAAUGGGGGCGGUUCUAAGGAAAGGCCGUGCAAACCGAGCUAGCCUCUUACUGCAUAGUACAUGGCGAAAGGAGGUCAUUCCAUGAGCUGGUGCCCUGCUAGGUUGGAGAGACCCUACCCUCAAACAAGUGUUCUUAUACCAACUGAAUUGUCGCGAUCCUAGUCUCAGGGGUUUUUUGAGACUCUGAAGGAGCCAGUCUAGUUCUUAUGGCGGAGCCGGUCCGCCUGGGCCGGAAGCGUCCGCUGCCCGUUUGCCCCAACCCGCUCUUCGUUCGUUGGCUGACCGAGUGGCGGGACGAGGCAGCCAGCAGGGGGCGCCACACGCGUUUCGUGUUUCAAAAGGCAUUGCGCUCCCUCCAACGGUACCCGCUACCAUUGCGCAGCGGGAAGGAAGCCAAGAUACUCCAGCACUUCGGAGACAGGCUCUGCCGCAUGCUGGACGAAAAGCUGAAGCAGCACCUAGCAUCAGGCGGUGACCAUGCCCCCAGCUCACCAUCUGGAAAGAAGGGAGCCAGCAAAGGGCCACCUGAGCAAGUCCAGGACUCUUCCAUGCCAGUUCCCACCCAGCCUCAAGCAGGAAGCACCAGUGUUGGCUAUUGGCCAGCUCAGAACUCAGGUGCUCGAGAGAUCCUGCUGCAACUCUACAGGGAGCACCUGAAUUCUGAUGGCCACAGCUUCCUAACCAAAGAGGAGCUGCUGCAGAAGUGUGCCCAGAAGACCCCCAGGGUAGUGCCUGGAAGUUCGAAACCCUGGCCUGCCCUCCGGAGCCUCCUCCAUAGGAACCUCAUCCUUGGAACGCAUCGGCCAGCCAGGUAUGCACUCACACCAGAGGGUCUGGAGCUGGCUCAGAAGCUGGCCGAGGCGGAAGGCCUGAGCACUCGGCACGCUGGCUUUAGGCCAGAGGAACAUCACGGAGAGGACUCAGCAGUUCCAGAAGCCUUGUCAGAACCUGGCACCACCGAGGGGGCCGUCCAGCAGAGACCACUGGAGCUAAGGCCUAGCGAGUACAGAGUGCUGUUGUGUGUGGACAUUGGCGAAACCAGAGGGGCAGGACACAGGCCAGAAAUGCUCCGAGAGUUACAAAGGCUGCGUGUGCCCCACACCGUACGCAAGCUACACGUUGGAGACUUUGUGUGGGUGGCACAGGAGACCAGGCCCAGAGACCCAGAAAGACCUGGGGAGCUGGUCCUGGACCACAUUGUGGAACGCAAGCGGCUAGAUGACCUAUGCAGCAGCAUCAUUGACGGCCGCUUUCGGGAGCAGAAGUUCCGCCUGAAGCGCUGUGGCCUGGGGCACCGGGUAUACUUAGUGGAAGAACAUGGGUCUGUCCACAACCUUAGCCUUCCCGAGAGCACCUUGCUGCAGGCUGUCACAAACACCCAGGUCAUUGAUGGCUUUUUUGUGAAGCGAACCAUGGAUAUUAAGGAGUCGGCUGGCUACCUGGCGCUUUUGACAAAGGGCCUGGAAAGACUGUACCAGGGCCACACCCUACGCAGCCGCCCUUGGGGGGCCCCAGGGGCUGCUGAAUCAGAAGCAAAGCCUUCCACAAACCCUCUCUGCUCACUCCUCACCUUCAGUGACUUCAAUGCAGAAGCUGUCAAGAACAAGGCCCAGUCUGUGCGAGAAGUAUUUGCCCGGCAGCUGAUGCAGGUGCGUGGACUGAGUGGGGAGAAGGCAGCAGCCGUGGUGGAUCGAUACAGCACCCCUGCCAGAUAAUCAGCCUUUAUAUGCCCUACCCCCAGUCUCCUGGCUGCUUAUGAUGCCUGUGCCACCGCGAAGGAGCAGGAGAUGCUCUUGAGCACCAUCAAGUGUGGGCGUCUGCAGAGGAAUCUGGGACCCGCUCUGAGCAGGACCCUGUACCAGUUGUACUGCAGCCACAGCCCUCUGAGCUGAGCUGUACCAGGAGACGCUCGCUCCCCAGCACCCAUCUUCAUCUCUACCAAGGCUGGCUAGCCUUUUAGCUGAGAUCCCCUGGGCUUUAAUAAAAAUCUGGAUGUGUGUGGUCUCGGCUGUUAAGGAAGCAAUGCCAAGGUCCUUCUGAAAUCUACAGGGGUUGGAAGACUACACUGCUGAGCCAACUGUUGUGUGUGGUGGUGCUAGCAGCGGAACCCAGAGCCUCACACCUACUAGGCAAUUCCUCUUCCAAAAAGCAAUGAUCCGCAGCCCUGUACAGUGUCCUUACCCAUUCCUAAAACCAGCUUGGCCUAAAACUUGCUCUGUAACCUAGUCUAGCCUAGAACUCCCAGUUUUUCUGGGUCUACCUUCCAAGACCUGAAAUUAAAGGUGUGGGGCACC
Molecule: RNA transcript, 2345 nt
Organism: Mus musculus (house mouse)
Lineage: Eukaryota; Metazoa; Chordata; Mammalia; Rodentia; Muridae
Gene: Mus81
Gene name: MUS81 structure-specific endonuclease subunit
Exons: 16
Source: RefSeq, marked validated